This 488-nucleotide ribosomal RNA is filed under the name uncultured beta proteobacterium. RNAcentral's name for it is "bacterial SSU rRNA". It matches the Rfam family "Bacterial small subunit ribosomal RNA", at positions 30 to 509 of the family's 1533-position model. The record is from RNAcentral. Lineage: Bacteria; Pseudomonadati; Pseudomonadota; Betaproteobacteria.
AUUGAACGCUGGCGGCAUGCCUUACACAUGCAAGUCGAACGGCAGCACGGGAGCAAUCCUGGUGGCGAGUGGCGAACGGGUGAGUAAUAUAUCGGAACGUGCCCAGUCGUGGGGGAUAACGCAGCGAAAGCUGUGCUAAUACCGCAUACGAUCCAUGGAUGAAAGCGGGGGACUCGCAAGGGCCUCGCGCGAUUGGAGCGGCCGAUAUCAGAUUAGGUAGUUGGUGUGGUAAAAGCGCACCAAGCCGACGAUCUGUAGCUGGUCUGAGAGGACGACCAGCCACACUGGAACUGAGACACGGUCCAGACUCCUACGGGAGGCAGCAGUGGGGAAUUUUGGACAAUGGGCGCAAGCCUGAUCCAGCAAUGCCGCGUGCAGGAUGAAGGCCUUCGGGUUGUAAACUGCUUUUGUACGGAGCGAAACGGUCUGCUUUAAUACAGUGGGCUAAUGACGGUACCGUAAGAAUAAGCACCGGCUAACUACGUGCC